This 503-nucleotide ribosomal RNA is filed under the name uncultured bacterium. Its description in RNAcentral is "partial 16S ribosomal RNA". It matches the Rfam family "Bacterial small subunit ribosomal RNA", at positions 30 to 523 of the family's 1533-position model. The record is from RNAcentral.
AUUGAACGCUGGCGGCAGGCUUAACACAUGCAAGUCGAGCGGGGUGAUGGUGCUUGCACUAUCACUUAGCGGCGGACGGGUGAGUAAUGCUUAGGAAUCUGCCUAUUAGUGGGGGACAACAUCUCGAAAGGGAUGCUAAUACCGCAUACGUCCUACGGGAGAAAGCAGGGGAUCACUUGUGACCUUGCGCUAAUAGAUGAGCCUAAGUCGGAUUAGCUAGUUGGUGGGGUAAAGUCCUACCAAGGCGACGAUCUGUAGCGGGUCUGAGAGGAUGAGCCGCCACACUGGGACUGAGACACGGCCCAGACUCCUACGGGAGGCAGCAGUGGGGAAUAUUGGACAAUGGGGGGAACCCUGAUCCAGCCAUGCCGCGUGUGUGAAGAAGGCCUUAUGGUUGUAAAGCACUUUAAGCGAGGAGGAGGCUCUUUUGGUUAAUACCCAAGAUGAGUGGACGUUACUCGCAGAAUAAGCAACGGCUAACUCUGUGCCAGCCGCCGCCGUAA